AGUGAACGCUGGCGGUAGGCCUAACACAUGCAAGUCGAACGGCAGCACAGUAAGAGCUUGCUCUUACGGGUGGCGAGUGGCGGACGGGUGAGGAAUACAUCGGAAUCUACUUUUUCGUGGGGGAUAACGUAGGGAAACUUACGCUAAUACCGCAUACGACCUACGGGUGAAAGCAGGGGAUCUUCGGACCUUGCGCGAUUGAAUGAGCCGAUGUCGGAUUAGCUAGUUGGCGGGGUAAAGGCCCACCAAGGCGACGAUCCGUAGCUGGUCUGAGAGGAUGAUCAGCCACACUGGAACUGAGACACGGUCCAGACUCCUACGGGAGGCAGCAGUGGGGAAUAUUGGGCAAUGGGCGAAAGCCUGAUCCAGCAAUACCGCGUGGGUGAAGAAGGCCUUCGGGUUGUAAAGCCCUGUUGUUGGGAAAGAAAAGCAGCAGGUUAAUACCCCGCUGUUCUGACGGUACCCAAAGAAUAAGCACCGGCUAACUUCGUG
This 492-nucleotide ribosomal RNA is filed under the name uncultured bacterium. Its description in RNAcentral is "partial 16S ribosomal RNA". It matches the Rfam family "Bacterial small subunit ribosomal RNA", at positions 29 to 507 of the family's 1533-position model. The record is from RNAcentral.